This is an RNA transcript of Populus nigra (black poplar), 3331 nucleotides long. It is a transcript of the gene named protein RDM16-like, with no coding region annotated. Lineage: Eukaryota; Viridiplantae; Streptophyta; Magnoliopsida; Malpighiales; Salicaceae. The transcript has 8 exons. The record is from RefSeq and is a predicted model, not a curated record.
CCUAGCCGUUCCAUCACUACCUUCACGAAAAUCUUAAUCUCUCGGACAUAAAGAAAAAGAGAGUGUGAGACAGAGAGCAACAAAAUCAGAUAGCAAUUAACAACACCCUAGAUUGCAAUGGACCGCUCCUUCAAACACACCCGUGACGACCGUGAUCGUGACCACCACAAACAUCGAUCAAGAGACGAUAAGCAUCGAGACUCCUCCGAUUCUCACCACCACCGAUCAGAGAGAGAAUCUCACCAACGCGAGCAUCACAAAUCAUCCAGGCGCGAUGAUACAAAGCGCGAAAGAUCUCACGAACGAGAAGAGAGUGUGGAUAGGCGAGAGAGAUCUCACGAUCACAAAUCGUCUUCCUCAUCGAGGCGUGAGGAGAGAGAGAGGUCAUAUGAUGCGAGAGAGGAGAGAGAAGGGAGUAGAGAGAGAAAACGCGAGAAGAGAGAAAGAGAGACUGUAGAUGAAGAUUAUUUGGAGAGAAAGAAAAGAAAGGAGAGAGGAGGUAGUGAAGAUAGGGCUGUUGUUGAGAAGGAGAAGAGGAGUAGAAGAAGAUUUGGUGAAAAAGUGAAAGAAGAGGAUAAUAGGACUGACAACAAUGAUAAUGGUAAUAGUUUUGAGAAUGUGAAAAGGGUGGAUUCGAGUGAGGCUGGAGUGAAGGAGGAAGUCAAUGAUGAGCCAAUUGGUGGCGGCAGGGGCAGCACCACAGAAAACGGUGGUGUUAAGACUACAAAUGGUGCUUCUCUGGAAUCAUUCACUAAGACUCCAAGCAAUCAGCCUGAGACCUCUGUGGCACCUGUUCACCCCCUUCCUACCAAGGUAUCUUCAAUUUCAAACACAAAUGAAAAUAAGGGAGUUAGUAUUGCCAGAUCUCAUGCGGUUCCUGGAAAAUCUAGUACAGAUGGGACAUCUUCAGCUGCUGGGAAAAGUGGAAAUCUAUCACUUGAUGCAUUAGCAAAAGCUAAGAAAGCCUUGCAAAUGCAGAAGGAACUGUCAGAGAAGCUGAAGAAGCUACCCCUGUCGAGCAAGGGUAAUAACACAAGUUCAGGUGGUAGCUCACAAAGGGUAUUGCCAUCAGCAACCACCACUACUGCUGUUUCGACUGGGGCAGUUUCUAGUUCAUCCUCCUUAUCUACAAGCACUCUGGUGUCUAUAAAGACACCUUCAACUGGUGUGGCACCUCUGCCCGAUAUUACUAGCAUACCCAAUUAUGAAGCUGUUAAGCGUGCCCAGGAACUUGCUGCUAAAAUGGGAUUUCGCCAGGACCCUGAGUUUGCUCCUCUUAUAAACUUAUUCCCUGGCCAGUUGCCAGCAGAAGUCUCUGUGCCACAGAAGCCUACUAAGACCCCUGUUCUUCGUGUGGAUGCACUUGGUAGGGAAAUAGAUGAACAUGGAAAUGUGGUGAAUGUGACUAAACCAAGCAACCUUAGCACCUUAAAGGUCAACAUCAACAAGCAGAAAAAGGAAGCAUUCCAGAUUCUUAAACCUGAAUUAGAUGUGGAUCCUGAAUCGAACCCUUAUUAUGAUGUGAAAAUGGGAAUUAAUAAGAAUAAGUUCUUGAGACCCAAACGAAUGACCUUCCAGUUUGUAGAGGAAGGCAAGUGGUUAAAAGAAGCUGAAAUAAUGAAACUGAGGAAUCAAUUUGGAGAAGAAAGAGAAAAGGAUAUGAAGGCAAGGCAAGCAUUACAUGCAAAGGCGAAGGCAGCUCCGGAUAUAAAUCCUAAUUUGAUAGAGGUAUCAGAGCGAGUUAUAACCAAAGCGAAGCCUAAGGAUCCGAUUCCCGAUGUAGAGUGGUGGGAUGCUCCUUUACUGACUGGUGGGACUUAUGGUGAAAAUGAUGAUGUUCUUAUCACUGAGCAUAGAUUGAAAAGGGAUAAAAUUACUAUCUAUGUGCAACACCCACGUCCUAUUGAGCCCCCGGCUGAGCCAGCUCCUCCACCGCCUCAACCUUUGAAACUAACUAAAAAGGAGCAGAAGAAGCUCAGAACACAGCGUCGACUUGCUCGGGAAAAGGAUAGACAGGAGAUGAUUAGACAAGGCUUGAUUGAACCUCCAAAACCAAAGGUUAAGAUGAGCAAUUUAAUGAAAGUUCUUGGCUCAGAAGCAACACAAGAUCCCACCAGACUUGAAAAGCAAAUUCGUACUGCAGCUGCUGAACGUGAACAAGCUCAUAUUGAUCGAAAUACUGCACGUAAGCUCACUCCUGCUGAGCGCCGUGAAAAGAAGGAGAGAAAGCUCUUUGAUGACCCGAACACCAUGGAAACUAAUGUUUCUAUUUACAGAAUCAACAACCUCUCAGACAAGAAAACUCGCUUCAAAGUUGAUGUCAAUGCUCACGAGAACCGCUUGACUGGGUGCACGGUGAUUACAGAGGGAAUUUGUGUGGUGGUGGUUGAAGGGGGAAGCAAAUCCAUCAAAAGGUAUGGGAAGCUAAUGCUUAGGCGUAUAAACUGGGCUGAAGCUGUUAAUGAGGAUGAAGGAGAUGACAAUGAGGAGAAACCUGUGAACAAAUGCAUGCUGGUGUGGCAAGGUAGUGUUGCCAAACCUAGCUUCCACAGGUUUUCUUUACAUGACUGUGUGACUGAAGCUGCAGCCCGAAAAUAUUUAGCUGAUGCUGGUGUUGCCCACUAUUGGGAUCUUGCUGUCAAUUUCUCUGACGAUCAAAUGUGAGAGGCUGCUUUGAUGAAAGCAUCACCAGCGCAGCUUGCUUGGUUCAAAGCUACUGUGAUUAAUUAGAGGGAGGAAAUGGCUGCUUAAGGUCACGAUCUGGACCUGAAAAAAUGCUCUACUAAAGUAAAUGGUACCUGGUGAAUCCUAUUGAUAAAAGGCCAAGUCCUAUUUGUUGAAAUGGCUCUUGGCAGUUCAUGACAGAUUACCCCUUGCUUCGAUAAGACGGGUAACAAAACAACCUGCUGGCGGCCUUCCUCCUCAUGAAGGUUGACAUAAGAGUUACAUUCUGACAAACAGUUGAGAAAUGAGUCCUAUGCCCUUGCCCUCACACACGCCGACUGUUUAUGCCCAUGUUCUAUUUUGACCAGGGAGAUUUUUCACAGCUUUAAUUGCAGGGGCAGUAUAGGCAUGGUGGUGGGCACUUCAUGGCUAACAAGACAACUCUUCUGUAAGAAUUGUUUAUCAUUUAAUUUGAGUUGAGGAAAUUGUCCAUUGUACUUGCGAUAGACCAUGAUCAUGAGUGGGUUGUGUGUGUGUGUGUGUGUGUGUGUCUGCGCGUUCAUACCACAUCUUUCCAUUUUGUUUUCUAUUUGGUUUCCUUUUUUCUUAAAUUGGUUGAACUAAAUAACUUUUUAAAUAUUCUACAAGUUCCAUUCGUUGAAUUAAA